Molecule: long non-coding RNA, 509 nt
Organism: Suricata suricatta (meerkat)
Lineage: Eukaryota; Metazoa; Chordata; Mammalia; Carnivora; Herpestidae
Exons: 3
Source: RefSeq, a predicted model, not a curated record
CUAUUUCAGUAUUUGGAGGAAAGGGACCUUCUCAAAUUCUAAGUUUACAAGACACUAAGCAUAACAAGUCCUGUCAGCUGAUUCCCCUCCUUUACCGGUGUCGGCAACUGAGAUUCUGAGAGAUUAAGUGAAAACUUUGAAGCUGGAGGUACAGAAGUGGCUUUCUCCACCGCGCAAAAUGGCUUCCCUCUCCUCAACCAGAAGUAGUAAUAAUGUCCCUCGUAAGCAGCUCGGUGUAUGGGAAGAUGCCCUGCUCUGUUAGGUACGUUUCCACUCCCGCCGUAUUCCAGCAGGAGAGAAAUGCAGUCAGGAUUGCCCCCUCCUGCGGCCUCGAACAACACUGACGCCCCAUCGUCCGCCAAAGCAAACACAUCACCACCUGGCAAUAUAAGACAUAUGGCAGAGGAGUGAUAACUGGAAUUAUCUUGAAAUUGUCAUGAGAGUCACCUUAAUAAUAACCUGCUGUUUUCCUUUCCAGCUAGGAAUUAAAAUUAAAAGUAUAGGAUCAA